RNAcentral lists this ribosomal RNA (468 nucleotides) under uncultured bacterium. Its description in RNAcentral is "partial 16S ribosomal RNA". It matches the Rfam family "Bacterial small subunit ribosomal RNA", at positions 28 to 507 of the family's 1533-position model. The record is from RNAcentral.
GACGAACGCUGGCGGCGUGCUUAACACAUGCAAGUCGAACGGAAAGGCCCUGCUUUUGUGGGGUGCUCGAGUGGCGAACGGGUGAGUAACACGUGAGUAACCUGCCCUUGACUUUGGGAUAACUUCAGGAAACUGGGGCUAAUACCGGAUAGGAGCUCCUGCUGCAUGGUGGGGGUUGGAAAGUUUCGGCGGUUGGGGAUGGACUCGCGGCUUAUCAGCUUGUUGGUGGGGGAGUGGCUUACCAAGGCUUUGGCGGGUAGCCGGCCUGAGAGGGUGACCGGCCACAUUGGGACUGAGGUACGGCCCAGACUCCUACGGGAGGCAGCAGUGGGGAAUAUUGCCCAAUGGGCGGAAGCCUGAUGCAGCAACGCCGCGUGCGGGAUGACGGCCUUCGGGUUGUAAACCGCUUUCGCCUGUGACGCAGCGUGAGUGACGGUAAUGGGUAAAGAAGCACCGGCUAACUACGUG